GAUGAACGCUGGCGGCGUGCCUAAUACAUGCAAGUCGAGCGAACAGAUAAGGAGCUUGCUCCUUUGACGUUAGCGGCGGACGGGUGAGUAACACGUGGGUAACCUACCUAUAAGACUGGGAUAACUUCGGGAAACCGGAGCUAAUACCGGAUAAUAUUUCUAACCGCAUGGUUCGAUAGUGAAAGAUGGUUUUGCUAUCACUUAUAGAUGGACCCGCGCCGUAUUAGCUAGUUGGUAAGGUAACGGCUUACCAAGGCGACGAUACGUAGCCGACCUGAGAGGGUGAUCGGCCACACUGGAACUGAGAAAAGGUCCAGACUCCUACGGGAGGCAGCAGUAGGGAAUCUUCCGCAAUGGGCGAAAGCCUGACGGAGAAACGCCGCGUGAGUGAUGAAGGUCUUCGGAUCGUAAAACUCUGUUAUUAGGGAAGAACAUACGUGUAAGUAACUGUGCACGUCUUGACGGUACCUAAUCAGAAAGCCACGGAUAACUACGUG
Molecule: ribosomal RNA, 497 nt
Filed under: uncultured bacterium
Lineage: Bacteria
Description: partial 16S ribosomal RNA
Rfam family: Bacterial small subunit ribosomal RNA
Source: RNAcentral